This is a non-coding RNA of Callithrix jacchus (white-tufted-ear marmoset), 2391 nucleotides long. Lineage: Eukaryota; Metazoa; Chordata; Mammalia; Primates; Cebidae. The record is from RefSeq and is a predicted model, not a curated record.
CCACCUUGCCACUUUCACCAAGUGAGCACAUGUGAGAAGACAGCAGUCUGUGAACCAGGCAGCAGGUCCUCGCUGGACACCAAAUCAACUGAUGCCUUGACCUUGGUCUUCUCAGCCUCCAGAACUAGCCUUGGACAGAGCUCCUGACGAUUGGGCCUUCCUGGUUCCGCUGCUAACCUGCUGGGGACUUCAGCAAAGCCUUCGCCUUCCGCCUUGGUGUUCUCAGAUACUCCCUGCAUCCAAUCCAGGCCAGUAGCUCGGGGUGUUGGGAUUCUGGAACAGGAAUCGGGCAAGAAGAUGGAGGAGCUGUCCUGGCCCCAGAGUAAGGACACAGAAGUACCCACAGGUCUCACUCUUCCUCCCCUCUUCCCCCACCCUGGAACAGGGAAGUACAUCCCAUGUUGGCAAUCCUGGCAGCCACAGGCAGCUAACGGGUGCCUGCUGUCCCAGCAAGCUGCCUGGGCUCGUGCCCAGUUAGGGACAUGGCCUGUGUCACCCCAACUGUCCAGGUCACCCAAGUCAGGCAAAUGAGCUUUAGGUACUUUAAAAUCAGAUUUGGAUACACACCAAACCGGGAUGCUGUCUCUGGAGAGAGGCUGGGAUUGUGCACAGAGGUCAAAGGGGUGUUGAGCCUUAUCUGCCAUAUUCCAUUUUAUUUUCAAGGAUAAUGCAUUCAUGGACUUCUUGUAUAAUUAAAAAACCACACACACACCCUUUGUCUUUUGUUGUUUUUUUAAGAUCUGACUUUUAAAGCUUACAGUAAAAAUAAGAAUUAUUUUAUAAGAGACUCCAAACAUGUUCUUUGGAGUUGGGAGGUGGGAAGGGACUUCCUGAUUAGCGCUGUGCUCCUGAUGUGCUGGCAUCAGGUCUGGCUCCUUGUGCCUCAGUUUCCCCAUCGGUACCAGAGGGAGACAGGCCUGAUAAUCUCCAAGGUUCUUUCAGCCCUGCCAUCAAGUGACAAGAAGCUCCACUCUGUGAAGUCACAGGGAGCCUGUCUGCCUGGGUUCCUCGCAAGCCUUAGUUACAGUGGUGGGAGCUGAUUCCAGAUGCCAGCCCUCAGGGGCCUAAGAGUUGUCCCAGGGGGACCCUUGGGGGCUUUUUGGCCAAGUCAGCUAAGCUUCUUUCCUGGGGAUAGUAACGCCAGGCCUCAGAAAGCUUCAACAGCCCAGCCUCUGUGCAGCCGGACCAAAUGCGGGCUUGCAGCCUGUUAGUCCCUUUUCUUGGCACGCUUGAAAAUGAACAACCAUGAUCUACGGUUGUCAUUAAGACAGAGAUGUUCUGGUUAGGGACACUGGCCCAGUGACCCUGCCCCUGGCACUAAUCACUAUGACAACAGCUCAAUAGGGUCCCAAGGGCCUAAGAAUCCUGCUUCCACUGAGGGCGAGGUUGGCUGAGGUCAGACAAAGAGGGAUUAAUAGAGCCCUGUUCUCAUUAAACCACAAAGCGCCAUUAUUACAAGUUGCAACGGCCCUAGCAGGAGAUGUAUCAUGUUUUCAAGUCACAGAGAAUCCAGCAAACCAAAGAGAAUGGUUCCAGCAUCAGCCACAAAGUCACCAUGGGGCCCGGAAUCAGAGGAGGAGCAGAAAAAUCUGAAAUAACCCAAAUGUUCAACAGACGGUUGUGUAACACACAGAACAGCCAGCCAUAAAAUAGCACCGACUGUGGACAUCCAGAUGGUGAUGUUGAUCGCAUUUUCUACGUUAAAAUCCUCAUGACGUGGAAGCAAGUCCACUAAAACUGUAAAUCAGCAACAUUUUUGUUAAAAAAAAUCAUAUACAUAUGUAUAGACAGUGAAAACACAGAAGAAAAAGCUUUCAAAAUGUGAGUAGCUAUUUUUGAAAAGUGAGAUUGUAUGUAAGUCUUUUUCUUUGGGUUUAUCUGUAUUUUCAUAAUAAAUAUAUAUUUCUCUUGUAUUUCAAAAAUCUUUUAUUCUUUUAAAAAUUGGUGCAGAGAAUUUGAGGGUGGGGUGGUCAUUCUUUCCCUUUGGAGUGAGACUUCAGUUAAUGAAACCUACAAGAGGGCACUGUUUUGGAGAGUUAAAUUUUCUUUUUAUUAAUAUUUUAUUAAUCUAAGUACUAAUAUUUAAAUAUUGGUUUUACAUUAACCAGUGUAUAAGAAAAUUAUUCUAAACAGUACUGCAUCUUCUCAUGCCUCCUUGCAACUAAGUACAAUAAAAAUAGUUUAUCCUUAGUUUUAUCAUUGUGAAAGGUGCAGAUUCUACCAUAUUGCAUAAUACGCAGAUCUUUAGGGUGAUUGGCUAAGCAGAAGGGUUUGUAUUUGCACUAAGUGGCUUCAGAUUAUUCCCCUUACUGAGUAUCUAGAUUUGCUUUUUAUAAUUUUCAAUUUCCUCCAUACUAAUAAACCAUCAGUAUCAAUAUUCUAUCUAUUCUA